Molecule: long non-coding RNA, 635 nt
Organism: Manis pentadactyla (Chinese pangolin)
Lineage: Eukaryota; Metazoa; Chordata; Mammalia; Pholidota; Manidae
Exons: 5
Source: RefSeq, a predicted model, not a curated record
AGUUUUAUAGGGAGAAGAAUGAAUCUCAUUCAAAGACCUGCCACUAUUUGAUCAUACUUACUUGGAAGACCCACUCAAAAGUUUUAGCAGGCACAUGAACGUUUAUGACAGCGCAUUUCUCAACCUCCUUUGGAGCCCGUCCUGGAUCCCACUGAGUGCUGACUGAAGGCUUGUGAGCAGACGUAAGCUUGGCUGCAGGGUAGAGAAUGGGUAGAAGAGAAGAGAGAAGAUAAAACAAAGAGGAAAACUGUCAAAAUAUGGGAAAUAAUGAUUUCCAGACAUCAGAGAGCAAACACCUCAGGACUGUGACCCCUGAAAGAAGAGAAGCGAACAAGAACCCCUUUCUUAUGAUGCUGUUCAAGAUGAGGUACAACAUAGAGGAAGAGAAUAAGACUGCCAUAAUCCACCACUUACUUGAUGUGUAGUAUGGGAGGAUGACUUAAUUUCUUUUGCCUUUUUUCCUCAUUUAUUAUCAGACAUUGUUUUGGAAGGAUUUCUUGCGUGGCCUUGCCUGUGCAACCUCCUACUUAACUGCACUACUGUCCUUCCUACCCAGUAGAUGCCACUAGCACCCUUUCCCCAAGUCGUGAAAAUAAAAAAUGCUUCCAUAUAUUUCCAAAUGUCCCCUGAGGCAA